Molecule: ribosomal RNA, 721 nt
Filed under: Bacillus velezensis
Lineage: Bacteria; Bacillati; Bacillota; Bacilli; Caryophanales; Bacillaceae
Description: bacterial SSU rRNA
Rfam family: Bacterial small subunit ribosomal RNA
Source: RNAcentral
UGCAAGUCGAGCGGACAGAUGGGAGCUUGCUCCCUGAUGUUAGCGGCGGACGGGUGAGUAACACGUGGGUAACCUGCCUGUAAGACUGGGAUAACUCCGGGAAACCGGGGCUAAUACCGGAUGGUUGUUUGAACCGCAUGGUUCAGACAUAAAAGGUGGCUUCGGCUACCACUUACAGAUGGACCCGCGGCGCAUUAGCUAGUUGGUGAGGUAACGGCUCACCAAGGCGACGAUGCGUAGCCGACCUGAGAGGGUGAUCGGCCACACUGGGACUGAGACACGGCCCAGACUCCUACGGGAGGCAGCAGUAGGGAAUCUUCCGCAAUGGACGAAAGUCUGACGGAGCAACGCCGCGUGAGUGAUGAAGGUUUUCGGAUCGUAAAGCUCUGUUGUUAGGGAAGAACAAGUGCCGUUCAAAUAGGGCGGCACCUUGACGGUACCUAACCAGAAAGCCACGGCUAACUACGUGCCAGCAGCCGCGGUAAUACGUAGGUGGCAAGCGUUGUCCGGAAUUAUUGGGCGUAAAGGGCUCGCAGGCGGUUUCUUAAGUCUGAUGUGAAAGCCCCCGGCUCAACCGGGGAGGGUCAUUGGAAACUGGGGAACUUGAGUGCAGAAGAGGAGAGUGGAAUUCCACGUGUAGCGGUGAAAUGCGUAGAGAUGUGGAGGAACACCAGUGGCGAAGGCGACUCUCUGGUCUGUAACUGACGCUGAGGAGCGAAAG